RNAcentral lists this ribosomal RNA (562 nucleotides) under uncultured Glomeromycotina. RNAcentral's name for it is "SSU rRNA". It matches the Rfam family "Eukaryotic small subunit ribosomal RNA", at positions 548 to 1114 of the family's 1831-position model. Lineage: Eukaryota; Fungi; Glomeromycota. The record is from RNAcentral.
UUGGAGGGCAAGUCUGGUGCCAGCAGCCGCGGUAAUUCCAGCUCCAAUAGCGUAUAUUAAAGUUGUUGCAGUUAAAAAGCUCGUAGUUGAAUUUCGGGAUCAAUUUGUCGGUCGUGCCUCGGUACGUACUGGCAUUAUUGGUUUCUACCUUCUGAAGAACCUUGAUGUCAUUAAUUUGGUGUCUUGGGGAAUCGGGACUGUUACUUUGAAAAAAUUAGAGUGUUUAAAGCAGGCAUACGCUUGAAUACAUUAGCAUGGAAUAAUGAAAUAGGACGUUUGAUUCUAUUUUGUUGGUUUCUAGGAUCGACGUAAUGAUUAAUAGGGAUAGUUGGGGGCAUUAGUAUUCAAUUGUCAGAGGUGAAAUUCUUGGAUUUAUUGAAGACUAGCUACUGCGAAAGCAUUUGCCAAGGAUGUUUUCAUUAAUCAAGAACGAAAGUUAGGGGAUCGAAGACGAUCAGAUACCGUCGUAGUCUUAACCAUAAACUAUGCCGACUAGGGAUCGGAUGAUGUUAUUUUUAAUGACUCAUUCGGCGCCUUACGGGAAACCAAAGUGUUUGGGUUC